AGCUUUGUGCAGUGGCAGUAUUGUAGCCAGUGAGGUUUAUCCAAGGCACCAUUAUCAUUAACUGAAAACUUUUCCCAAUACCCCGCCAUGACAACUUGCAAUAUAGUCGGCAUUGGCAAUUUUUGACAAUCUCUAUGGAGA
Molecule: small nuclear RNA, 141 nt
Filed under: Cebus imitator (Panamanian white-faced capuchin)
Lineage: Eukaryota; Metazoa; Chordata; Mammalia; Primates; Cebidae
Description: U4 spliceosomal RNA (ENSCCAG00000015154.1)
Rfam family: U4 spliceosomal RNA
About the family: U4 small nuclear RNA (U4 snRNA) is a component of the major U2-dependent spliceosome. The structure of U4 snRNA from yeast and human has been reported.
Source: Rfam by way of RNAcentral